AUACGUAGGGGGCGAGCGUUGUCCGGAAUGAUUGGGCGUAAAGGGCGCGUAGGCGGCGCGGUAAGUCUGGAGUGAAAGUCCUGCUUUCAAGGUGGGAAUUGCUUUGGAUACUGCCGCGCUUGAGUGCAGGAGAGGUUAUCGGAAUUCCCGGUGUAGCGGUGAAAUGCGUAGAUAUUGGGAAGAACACCGGUGGCGAAGGCGCCUUUCUGGACUGUGUCUGACGCUCAGAUGCGAAAGCCAGGGUAGCGAACGGGAUUAGAUACCCCGGUAGUCCUGACCGUAAACGAUGGGUACUAGGUGUGGGAGGUAUCGACUCCUUCCGUGCCGGAGUUAACGCAAUAAGUACCCCGCCUGGGGAGUACGGCCGCAAGGCUUAAACUCAAAUGAAUUGACGGGG
This 397-nucleotide ribosomal RNA is filed under the name uncultured bacterium. RNAcentral describes it as "partial 16S ribosomal RNA". It matches the Rfam family "Bacterial small subunit ribosomal RNA", at positions 523 to 918 of the family's 1533-position model. The record is from RNAcentral.